RNAcentral lists this ribosomal RNA (46 nucleotides) under Salvia tesquicola. RNAcentral's name for it is "partial 28S ribosomal RNA". Lineage: Eukaryota; Viridiplantae; Streptophyta; Magnoliopsida; Lamiales; Lamiaceae. The record is from RNAcentral.
CCCCAGGUCAGACGAGACUACCCGCUGAGUUUAAGCAUAUCAAUAA